AGGAAACUUGGAAUGACUUUUCAUAGGUUUCCCAGAGACUAUGGGUUGAGGAGGAAUUGGAAGUUUGUCGGCUUAGACCUGUGUCAUUCCAUCAGUGUUAAACUUCCCGGCUCAUCUUGGAAGAGUACGUGCCAGAAAGACCACGACCAAGCAGCCUUGAGAUCUUAGACAGCGUCUCCCUCAGACCAAAGAACUACAGACUCUUCACAACCUGCUCAAACUCUUGGUACAGGACCUCACCACACGGGUCAAGAAGGUUUCCAUCUCAUUUCUACUCUGAAGCUCACCUUCUCCUGCUCAAACUGCUG
This is a long non-coding RNA of Amphiprion ocellaris (clown anemonefish), 308 nucleotides long. The record is from Ensembl. NCBI's taxonomy places the organism in Eukaryota, Metazoa, Chordata, Actinopteri, Pomacentridae.